RNAcentral lists this ribosomal RNA (1034 nucleotides) under Clostridioides difficile. Its description in RNAcentral is "bacterial LSU rRNA". It matches the Rfam family "Bacterial large subunit ribosomal RNA", at positions 1897 to 2925 of the family's 2925-position model. Lineage: Bacteria; Bacillati; Bacillota; Clostridia; Peptostreptococcales; Peptostreptococcaceae. The record is from RNAcentral.
AAUCGAAGCAGUGAACUUAAGCCCCAGUAAACGGCGGCCGUAACUAUAACGGUCCUAAGGUAGCGAAAUUCCUUGUCGGGUAAGUUCCGACCUGCACGAAUGGCGUAACGACAGCGGCGCUGUCUCCACCCGAGACUCAGUGAAAUUGAAAUCGCUGUGAAGAUGCAGUGUAUCCGCGGCUAGACGGAAAGACCCCGUGAACCUUUACUAUAGCUUGACACUGAACACUGGUCCUUGAUGUGUAGGAUAGGUGGGAGGCUUUGAAGCGUGGACGCCAGUCUGCGUGGAGCCAACCUUGAAAUACCACCCUUUAAUGGCUGGUGUUCUAACGUAGACCCGUUACCCGGGUUGCGGACAGUGUCUGGUGGGUAGUUUGACUGGGGCGGUCUCCUCCUAAAGAGUAACGGAGGAGCACGAAGGUUAGCUAAUCCUGGUCGGACAUCAGGAGGUUAGUGCAAUGGCAUAAGCCAGCUUGACUGCGAGCGUGACGGCGCGAGCAGGUGCGAAAGCAGGUCAUAGUGAUCCGGUGGUUCUGUAUGGAAGGGCCAUCGCUCAACGGAUAAAAGGUACUCCGGGGAUAACAGGCUGAUACCGCCCAAGAGUUCAUAUCGACGGCGGUGUUUGGCACCUCGAUGUCGGCUCAUCACAUCCUGGGGCUGAAGCCGGUCCCAAGGGUAUGGCUGUUCGCCAUUUAAAGUGGUACGCGAGCUGGGUUUAGAACGUCGUGAGACAGUUCGGUCCCUAUCUGCCGUGGGCGCUGGAGAAUUGAGGGGGGCUGCUCCUAGUACGAGAGGACCGGAGUGGACGAACCUCUGGUGUUCCGGUUGUCACGCCAGUGGCAUUGCCGGGUAGCUAUGUUCGGAAGAGAUAACCGCUGAAAGCAUCUAAGCGGGAAACUUGCCUCAAGAUGAGAUCUCACUGGGAUCUUGAAUCCCCUAAAGGGCCGUCGAAGACUACGACGUUGAUAGGUUGGGUGUGUAAGCGCUGUGAGGCGUUGAGCUAACCAAUACUAAUUGCCCGUGAGGCUUGACCCU